GGGCUCCCCGGCUUCCUGCCUCUCUGAAUUCCUCCUCCAGACCCUCAAGGCUCCCUGCUCAUUCCCUCUGGGGUCCUGAGGUCUCCAAGGGCCACUCUGGCUUCCCCCCUGCAGACCCACCCUCCUAGGGGAACAGGGUGACCCCACACAGACACUGAUGGGACAAGAGAACCAGCCCUGCAGAAAGCCUCCAGCGUGUCCAUGGGCCCAGUGCCUGGCGUGUCCUCCCUGGGAGCUUGCUGGACGCAUGACCAGGAUUCUGGGAGGGCAGAGGACAGACCACAGGCACCCAGGAUAACUCAGUACACAUGGGUUCUCAGCUUCCUGUUCACAGAGAAACCUCAGACAAGAAGCACGUCGCCCAUUUCUCAUCAAGGCCAACCCCAGACCACGAGAGCGCUUUCUCUGCGUCAGCCCCAGCACCCCAGCGCCCCUGCCUCCGGGCGCCCGCGGCCUCCGCAC
Long non-coding RNA from Homo sapiens (human), 462 nucleotides. Ensembl annotates it as long intergenic non-protein coding RNA 2870. Lineage: Eukaryota; Metazoa; Chordata; Mammalia; Primates; Hominidae. The record is from Ensembl.